This 84-nucleotide transfer RNA is filed under the name Crassvirales sp. RNAcentral describes it as "tRNA-Met". It matches the Rfam family "tRNA". From Rfam's summary of the family: Transfer RNA (tRNA) molecules are approximately 80 nucleotides in length. Lineage: Duplodnaviria; Heunggongvirae; Uroviricota; Caudoviricetes; Crassvirales. The record is from RNAcentral.
CGUGGGAUAGUGUAAUGGUAACAUGCAAGGCUCAUAACCUUGAGACAGUAAUUGUUUAUGGUAGUUCGACUCUACCUCCCGCAA